Molecule: ribosomal RNA, 497 nt
Filed under: uncultured bacterium
Lineage: Bacteria
Description: partial 16S ribosomal RNA
Rfam family: Bacterial small subunit ribosomal RNA
Source: RNAcentral
GAUGAACGCUGGCGGCGUGCCUAAUACAUGCAAGUCGAGCGAACAGACGAGGAGCUUGCUCCUCUGACGUUAGCGGCGGACGGGUGAGUAACACGUGGAUAACCUACCUAUAAGACUGGGAUAACUUCGGGAAACCGGAGCUAAUACCGGAUAAUAUAUUGAACCGCAUGGUUCAAUAGUGAAAGACGGUUUUGCUGUCACUUAUAGCUGGAUCCGCGCGGCAUUAGCUAGUUGGUAAGGUAACGGCUUACCAAGGCAACGAUGCGUAGCCGACCUGAGAGGGUGAUCGGCCACACUGGAACUGAGACACGGUCCAGACUCCUACGGGAGGCAGCAGUAGGGAAUCUUCCGCAAUGGGCGAAAGCUUGACGGAGCAACGCCGCGUGAGUGAUGAAGGUCUUCGGAUCGUAAAGCUCUGUUAUUAGGGAAGAACAGAUGUGUAAGUAACUAUGCACGUCUUGACGGUACCUAAUCAGAAAGCCACGGCUAACUACGUG